CAAAACAAACUAAAAAAAGACAAAUAGCGUAAAUAAAUAAACUAUGAAAAAAAAAGAAAUAAAGACUCAUAUAUGACGCAUUUAAUUUCACAAGAACCAUAUUUGAAAUUAUUCCCAAUCUUAAAACAUUGUAUGGAAAUAAGGAUUAGAAUGCCAAAAUAUACAAAUCUGAUGAACAAUGUAAAAAACAGAGAAUAAAGCAAUUUAGGCGCAAAAGGGGAGCAUAUCUUGAUGCAGCGCAAAGAGGAGGGACCUUCUGCGUAAAAAUACCAUUCCAGGCGCAAAGGAACAGAAUAGGUGAAUCAGGGGAAAAUUGAAAGGGCGCACAAAGAAAAAGGAUCAGACGCGUAAUUUUCCCCAUUUCCCCAAUCAGGCGCAUACCCGGCCUACCAAAACGGGACGCGCAGGUCAUUGCGCAAGGAAACGCCGCCGUAAUGAAGAAAACCCUUUGCCCUUCAUUUACCCUUUUAUUUUCCAGAACCAAAACACUUUCAUUCAUUUUUGAAAUUAGAACACAUUUUUUUGCUAAGGUUUUUCCACAGGCAGCUGAAUCACCAUCAGAUCUGGUGUCUAGCAGCACGCGAAACCACUCCUGACUCCUGCUGUAAAUACUCGACCACCUAUUGAAGAGCUUGGGAUGGAGCAACGGCUGUACGGAAAAAACUUGCUCGUGAAAGUCGUGAUUGCAGCACUAGUGUGUUCCAGAAACCUCUAGUGCUUUCAGCUGCUGAGAUUCCCCUUUUGGGAUUCUUUCAAGUUUGGGCCUCUUUGCAAAUUGGGCUCAUUGGUCUUUGGGCCUUUGUAUAUGUUUGGGCUAUUUGUUAGUGUUUAUUUAAGGUUGUAAAUGGACUAUUGGGACUUUAUUUAAGUUUAUUUGACUAGCUAUUGAAUGUAUAAAUAAAAUAAA
Gossypium arboreum is the source of this 907-nucleotide long non-coding RNA. RefSeq lists it as uncharacterized. The record is from RefSeq and is a predicted model, not a curated record. The transcript has 2 exons. NCBI's taxonomy places the organism in Eukaryota, Viridiplantae, Streptophyta, Magnoliopsida, Malvales, Malvaceae.